Molecule: long non-coding RNA, 339 nt
Organism: Rhipicephalus sanguineus (brown dog tick)
Lineage: Eukaryota; Metazoa; Arthropoda; Arachnida; Ixodida; Ixodidae
Exons: 2
Source: RefSeq, a predicted model, not a curated record
UCCCUUGCUGCCGUUUCAGUCAACCCCCGUGGGGUCCCUUCAGACCGGACAGGAGGUCAUCGUUUCUCCAAACAGGGAAAGGCACAUUACUACAAAUGCCCGGUCAAACCCCCAGAAGAAUGCGUGGUUGGACCAAAGCAACCCACGGCAGGCGGGCAAUACGCUGCUCGCCGAGAAGCUGGUACAUCAGGGAGGCGGGGCUGGUGGUGUGCCCCAGGGCUCGGUUCAGGUCGUCUCCUCUACCAACGGUGACCUGGCGAACGAUGACCCCACCACAGGGCACUCCAACACACCCAUCGCAUUACCUGUCGAAGUGGAAGUCGUCUCAGAUACCAAGUG